GUCAUAUGCUUUUAACAAAUAUGGAAUGCUAAGGAUAUCAUUUUUUAAAAAGAUUACUGAGAUCAACUACAGUUAUAAAAUAAAAUAUUGAUUUCUUUGUAUUCAACUAAAAAUAAAUAAAUUUGCUGAUUUGAAGUUCGGCCAAAAAAAAAGUAUGUGUGUUAACUGUACCCCUAUUUUUGUUUUGGCCAUUUUUGAUAAAGCACUGUUACAGUCACGAUGUUGCUCCCAUAUACUCAAAGUAAAAAAAUAAAUUAAAUUAAAUUAAAAUCCCUAUCUAACUUCUUUUAAGCAUGUGACAGUAAACACACAUACUUUUUUGUUUGGCCUUGCAUUCACUUCAAUUAUCUCCCCUUGGAUUUAACACAUUUGUGCAAAUUAUUAUCUCCCCUGACCAAAUCAUAAAUUCUUUGAAUUGUAAAUAAAAACAUAAUUUUUGGCAUAUGUAAGAAUGUAAAACAGUGCAUUGAAAUUUGUUUAAUAAAGGCAACAUAAAUAAGUUCUUAGUUUAUUUCAACUUUUGUUAGAAAAAUGUGAACAAA
This 542-nucleotide long non-coding RNA is filed under the name Mytilus galloprovincialis (Mediterranean mussel). Lineage: Eukaryota; Metazoa; Mollusca; Bivalvia; Mytilida; Mytilidae. The record is from RNAcentral.